Molecule: non-coding RNA, 590 nt
Organism: Poecilia reticulata (guppy)
Lineage: Eukaryota; Metazoa; Chordata; Actinopteri; Cyprinodontiformes; Poeciliidae
Source: RefSeq, a predicted model, not a curated record
AUAAAAACGCCCCGCCCUAUUUGUUACUGGUUAGGUUGGAUUGUUUUGUGCCACUGUAAAUGGCCCAAAGAGCUGCCCGAGGCUCUGGAGCCACAGAACAUUGACUUUCCAGCUCUUUGCGGUUGUGCAUUUAUGGGAUUGUCUCCAGGAUCUGUCAACUCUCCAACCUACUCUUGUAGAGUUGGAUAGAUAAAGAAGUGAUGAUAGUGCUGAUAAAAUGGAAUUUUUAACAAACCAGCUGCGUUGCUGUGGUUACAAAAAGGACAUCGGGACUCGUAGCUUUGCACAGUGUCAGUUUUCAAAGUGAUCAGAAGUUGGCAAGACUCUGAGUGUUACCUGAUGCCGAAUAAUCCUGCGUCAGUGGUUCAGCUACACUAGACGCUGACCCUGUCAAAGAAGCAAAAUAUUUGGUUACCRCAACCCCUGAUGGUAUAAUAUAAAACCACUAACUAUUAAACAAGAGUUGGUGAAAAAACUUAGAAAGUAAAGUAAGUUUGCAUCUGUUAUAUAUUUUUUCUAUUGUUUCAUUAAACUGAGAAUUAUGGUAAAAACUUUGGAGUUGGCCAAAGAUUUAAAAAYAGUUGACAUGC